This is a non-coding RNA of Dermochelys coriacea (leatherback sea turtle), 73 nucleotides long. NCBI's taxonomy places the organism in Eukaryota, Metazoa, Chordata, Testudines, Dermochelyidae. The record is from the annotation of a RefSeq genome assembly.
UCCCUGAUGGUCUAGUGGUCAGGAUUUGGCGUUCUCACCGCCACCGGCCUGGGUUCGAUUCCCAGUCAGGGAA